CCUACGGGCGGCUGCAGUGGGGGAUAUUGCACAAUGGGGGAAACCCUGAUGCAGCGACGCCGCGUGGGCGAAGAAGUAUUUCGGUAUGUAAAGCCCUAUCAGCAGGGAAGAAGAAAUGACGGUACCUGAGUAAGAAGCACCGGCUAAAUACGUGCCAGCAGCCGCGGUAAUACGUAUGGUGCAAGCGUUAUCCGGAUUUACUGGGUGUAAAGGGAGCGCAGGCGGCACGGCAAGCCUGAUGGGAAAGCCCGCGGCCCAACCGCGGGACUGCAUUGGGAACUCCCGGGCUGGCGUGCCGGCGAGGUAGGCGGACUUCCUAGUGUAGCGGUUCACUGCGUCGCUAUUCGGAG
RNAcentral lists this ribosomal RNA (350 nucleotides) under uncultured bacterium. RNAcentral's name for it is "partial 16S ribosomal RNA". It matches the Rfam family "Bacterial small subunit ribosomal RNA", at positions 338 to 703 of the family's 1533-position model. The record is from RNAcentral.